CACGUCAGCGGCUUUACUGACAUGGCAACAAAUCGCGUCCUCUGAAGCGCGAUUUGUGUCCACGUCAGCAAAGCGCGCUGACGUGG
Molecule: non-coding RNA, 86 nt
Organism: Gossypium hirsutum (cotton)
Lineage: Eukaryota; Viridiplantae; Streptophyta; Magnoliopsida; Malvales; Malvaceae
Source: Rfam